UACGUAGGGGGCAAGCGUUAUCCGGAUUUAUUGGGUUUAAAGGGUGCGUAGGCGGAGUGUCAAGUCAGCGGUAAAAUUUCGGGGCUCAACCCCGUCGUGCCGUUGAAACUGACACCCUUGAGUGAGUGAGAAGUAAGCGGAAUGCGUGGUGUAGCGGUGAAAUGCAUAGAUAUCAGGAGGAACAUCGGUGGCGAAAGCGCUUUACUGGACUGUAACUGACGUUGAGGCUCGAAGGCGUGGGGAGCAAACAGG
Molecule: ribosomal RNA, 252 nt
Filed under: uncultured bacterium
Lineage: Bacteria
Description: partial 16S ribosomal RNA
Rfam family: Bacterial small subunit ribosomal RNA
Source: RNAcentral